Molecule: transfer RNA, 69 nt
Filed under: Lateolabrax japonicus (Japanese seabass)
Lineage: Eukaryota; Metazoa; Chordata; Actinopteri; Acropomatiformes; Lateolabracidae
Description: tRNA-Pro
Rfam family: tRNA
About the family: Transfer RNA (tRNA) molecules are approximately 80 nucleotides in length.
Source: RNAcentral
CAAAGAAUAGUUUAAUUAGAAUUCUAGCUUUGGGAGUUAGUGGUGGGAGUUAAAACCUCUUUUCUUUGA